UAGGUUACUUCCAUUCCUGUUUAGAGCACCACUACAGCCCAUAAAUUGGGUGGAUUCCAAGGGUGCCCAUGAACUCACGUGGCCUCUGUCCACCAGCGUAAAGGGUGAGGAGACUCUUUUUGACAGUUACCUCUCCACUUUCAGUCCCACUGUGCAAGAAGAGUCCCAUGCUCUUCUGGUUUUCAUGGGGCACCAGGAGGAAGAAGGACCUGUCAAAAUUUUCUCCCCUCCCCACCCUCCAUUAGGGGGGUACCAAGAACUCUGCUUAGGAUCUUAGGAUCCAACUCAUUGUGUUUCUGCAGCACUUGCUCCAAGAUUGACUAUAUUUUAGUUUGCCAUCUACCCCCACAUUGUCUUUAUACUAGAGACAGACUAGAACGACUAUCCACGAGCUAUUGUUUACCUCUUUUGAAUUUCUUUCCUUGAAUUGCUAGGGUCAAGCAACCAAAGAUUAAAUAUAAUGGGUGUGAUCCAGAAAGGAGCAUAGUUUUAAUGUUUCAUGUUGUAUUAUGUUUUUAUAUGUGUUGGAAGCUGCCCAGAGUGGCUGGGACAACCCAGCCAGAUGGGUGGGGUAUGAAUUAUUAUUAUUAUUAUUAGUAGUAGUAGUAGUAGUACUCAUUUGUAUAGCAGCUGCUUGGCAUGCAAAGGUCCCAGGAUCAAUUAUUGGCAUCUCCAGUUAGGGCUGGGGAUGUCCCCUAUCUCUAGAGUUGGUCUGAGUUUAUAUUAUAUUUCUAAAGCUCUAGUCACUGUGCAUAUUUGAGUUCCAUGGGCAAAGGGUUAUACCUUCCUGCUUAUACUGUACUCAACCCACUGUAGAGUUCCCACUGAAUCCAUGGAGAACUCCCGUCUUAAAAACAGGGCAGUUCCCCUAUACGCACAACUUCCUGUGGGCACUGGAGACCCUGCAUGUGCACCAAAGCUGCUAACUCACAGUCACAAGCAGGUAGAGAAGACCCAAAAGUUCUUUAAGUGACUUGGAAACUUACCUGGAAAAAGACAUUGGUUUGCAUAGUGACAAGUUUCUAACUGCCGUGUCGCAGUGCCUGGACCAGGUAACUAGCUGCUUUUUCUGGGUAGGAGGCCUAGAAUCGCAACAUUUGAGGAGGGGUGGGGUAUAAAUUCCGUGCAUCUGCUCUCAUUCUAUGUGAACAGGUUUUCUUUGCUGGCAGAGGUACCUUUGUAAAUGAAAGAGCUACUGAGACAGAAAGAAAAGAUGCUGGUUUAUCCUGGCAGAUUUGUCUCUUGCCGUGUCAUUGGAUUGCUCUCCUGGUGUUGAAGCGGGGAAGAAGGGAGAGAAGGAGAAAAGUGUACAGACGUCAACCCUACAGGCUGUGGGGCAGAGAGGUGGGCAGGGAAAACAGCUACAUGUCUCCUUUCUUCAGCAGUAUGUUUCCAGUUCAGUUCCUGCAUUAAGAAGACAUUAAUAGUCCCUGAUGACGGUUUCACGCUCUGUUUGUAUUCUUUCUAACAAGUUCCUUUCAUGUUUUUCUUUUUUUGUGGGAAUAUUUUCUCGGGGGGGGGGGGAGUGCCAUCUGCAGACGAGCUGCUAAAUUGCUGCCAAAGAAAUGCAACAUGAAAACCUCUCUCUGGGAUCAACGCCAGUGUCCUUUUGCCACAUGCGCUGGUCUCUCGAGAGCCCAAGGGCACCCAAAGAGGAGAGAGAGAAAUGCCUUUUAUAUCAAGACAUUAGUGGAAAUGAUGAACUGCUCGUGGUCAGUGACGAUCCAGCAUGGAACGAGGCCAUCCAGUGGGAGAUUUAGAGCAGAAAAAAAGAAAACACGUCUUCACAUGUGGCACAUAGUUAGACUGUGGAUUUUGCUCCCACAAGAGGCCGCAAUGGCCAGCAGCUUGGAUGGCUUUAAAAGGGGAUUAGACUAAUUCAUAGAGGAUAAGAUUACUGACUAGAAUGACUAUGUUCUCUCUCCGCUGUUGGAGGCAAUAUGCCUUUGAUUACCAGUUGCUGGGAAUCCCCAAUGGGGAGAGUGCUGUUGCCCUCAAGUCCUGUUGCUUGUGGGGUUCCCAAUGGGAUAGGCUUCCAAUUGGCCACUGCAAGAAGAGGAUAGUGGACUAGAUGGGCCUUUGAGUAUGAUUCAGCCCAUCUCUUCUGAUGUUCCUAUGUAGGCUGGAAGUGGACACCACUACAGAAGUGCUUGCACUUGUUUUGAUGUUACAUUGGCAGGAGAAAAAAGUGUGACUACAGUGUUAGAAGUAGAUCAAGGAGUCCUGGGUUCAAAUCUGCACUCUUCUACAAAGCUUGCAAAGUGACUGGCCCAACAUCAUUAUCUCAUAGCGUGGCUUACUUUACAUAGUUAUUAUAAGGAUAAACGUGUGUGUGGAACAGUGAGUUCCUUUGAGAAAGAGUCUGCCUUGACAUCCAAGAAAUUUAGACAGCCUUAUCAAGACUCCUUCGGCUUUCCUUGAAUUCUUUUGAGGUUUGGCGUAAUAGGAAUCUGGAGGUGGACAUUUAAUUUUGCUGCCAGGAAAAUCAGUGGCAGCUGAGGACAACAUUUCUUUUUCCUUCUCUAGAAAAUGUUUAGGUGCUUUGAAUGAGGAGGAGCCUCCAAGUUCACUUUGAAUUGGCAAAUGAAGCCAGAGACAACCCAGAGUUGUGUGGAGCCUUCUGAUAAGUACAUUGGAAUCCUUCAAGUGUUUUGCCCUGACGUAUCUUACAGAUCUUGCCAACAAAGGUCCAUAUAGUUAUAGCCAUGGUUUUCCCAGUAGUGAUGUAUGGAAGUGAGAGCUGGACCAUAAAGAAGGCUGAUCGCCAAAGAAUUGAUGCUUUUGAAUUAUGGUGCUGGAGGAGACUCUUGAGAGUCCCAUGGACUGAAAGAAGAUCAAACCGAUCCAUUCUUAAGGAAAUCAGCCCUGAGUGCUCACUGGAAGGACAGAUCCUGAAGCUGAGGCUCCAAUACUUUGGCCACCUCAUGAGAAGAGAAGACUCCCUGGAAAAGACCCUGAUGUUAGGAAAAAUGGAGGGCACAAGAAGAAGGGGACGAUAGAGGACGAGAUGGUUGGGCAGUGUUCUCGAAGCUACAAACAUGAGUCUGACCAAACUGCGGGAGGCAGUGGAAGAAAGGAGUGCCUGGCGUGCUCUGGUCCAUGGGGUCACGACCAAACGACUAAACAACAACAACAUCUUACAGAUCCAUACCAAAGGGCUUUAUCUCAGCAGUAGAGCAGAUGUUUUGCAUGCAGAAGGUCCCGCAUUCAAUCCCUGGUAUAUCCGGGUAGGGCUAGGAAUGUCCUGUCUGAAACCCCAGAGAGCCACUGCCAGAAAGCAUAGAGACUAUACUGUAAACAAUACUGAGCUAGGUGGACCAGUGGUUUGACUUGGUGUAAGACAGUUCACUUGCAGUAGUCAACAACUUUGGCUCUCUCCCCCCCCCCCAAAGUUCAACCACUCUGGUCAAUCCAAUGGGGAGAUCACUGCCAGUUUAUUUAUAGUGGGAGUAGAUUGCUGUCUCUUGGAUUUUCAGACGCCCAAGACUUAAAGUUGAGAAAUUGUGCACACAGGUUUAUGGAGCAACUUGAUGUCGGAGUCUGUCUCAUCUGUCGGUAGCUGUGAUUUCUUCAAGUGUGGGAUUUUGCCCUGCUGUUCAUGCCUGCCUGGAGAGCUGGUGCAUCCUAAUGACUGCAAAUGCGAACUGUGAAUUAGAAAGCUCCCAGUUCAUAGCUCACCCGUGAGGAUGGUGAUUCAGACGCCUCAAGGAAGGAACCAGAAUCCCCAUCACUAGCAAUGCACCAAAUCCACUUACUCUUCUGAAGGCUGCCAGCAGAGAAAAUAAAAUGCACUCAGAGGCAGCCCAGUGAAUCCAGAAUGUAUCUGCUAUCUGUCAGCUGAGACUUAGGGCGUUGGUAGGUCUGCUUCACUUUUGGGACUCAGGGUUUAUCCACACUUAUCUUUCCUCUGCUCUUUCCAGACACAGUCUGUGAUUUAAAGCUUUGUGUCCGAGCACCUUCCCCCACCCCCCAGAGCUUUCCCUACAAAACCUGCUCUUUAAAGCACAACCGGAACAAACUGCAAUCCAUGGAAAACCCAAACUGAUGCUUGCUCUGAGCUCUAAACAGGGGGUUUUCGCAGGGGAAGUUCUGGGGCAAAAAGCAAGAACACUCACACACAGAGCUUUUAAGUGCAGACUUGUGCCUGGAAAGAAUGGGGCAAAGGGUAAGUGUGGAUAAGCCAUCAGUUAUGUGCAGAUGACUUGUCAAUGCAAGGUGUGCUUGCUGUGAACUUUCCGUGGUUCUGAAGAACCUGGUCCUGCUCUGUUAUCCAGAUUUUGCCCCUUGCAACCUGCUAGCCUGACACAACACAUGGUACAUAUCUGUUAACUGGAACCAGGCAAGCUGAUGACUAAUCAAACCUUGCUUCAUGAGCAGGGAGGUCUCUGACUGGCUUGUGCAGGACAGUUUUAUGGGCAGCUGCUUCUGCUUCUGUUGUAGCAUAACAUUCAGUGCCCAGUUACAAUGCAUUUUGCAGCCCAGCUGGAGAUUUUAAAAUGUUUAGAUAAAAAUGGGAGGGGGGCGGGAAUAGCCAUUCUUAUUUGAGAGGUUAUUAGGGCUUGGUUAAGUAGCAGCUGGUGUCGUGGAGCAGAGCCACAGAGCUCAUCUUCCAUCAAUAGGGUUGUUGUAGCUUACCAGAAUAGGGCUGGGGAGGUUGACGCUGUACCAGAGCCCAUCCAGUGCUCCCACUUUUGCAUCUGUGCAGCCCUGACCUCACUGCCACGCCACCUCCAUCUCAAUCUAGGUGAGCUGUAGAGUCGCCAGUGACAGGAGGGCAGCUCCACAGUUCUGCUCUACCACACCUUCUGCUGCUGGUUAAUUCCCAAAGAGGAUCACACUAGUUCUGGAUUCAACCCCCCUUCACUGUCCAGAUGCAGUAAUUCAGGUCCAUCCCUCAAGGGCUCCUUGGCCUUUGUCUUGGCUGGCACCACUGUAAUUUUUGAGCCACCGGCACUGCAAGCUAAUCCCAGGAAUGCGUGUUCAUAUAUGAAAAUGUAUGUCAUAUGAAGAAUGGUCACAGUGGCUCCUAAUGCACAGUAUCAUGCUAAAGUGUGUCCAUCCCUCCAGGGCAAAUAGACAGGGAGGAAGACAGAUAAGCCUUUGAAAGAUCUGUUUCAAGAGGCCAGUUUCACAGAAUAGGCACACAGUGACUUUUGUGUACAGAGGGGGAAAUAAGGGAAAAUAAAAAGGUUCUUUGCUUUAUUGUUCAUCAAAAAGGACAAGGGGCAGAUGCCAGGAACAGAUUUUUCUAGGGCAUGAUUGAGUUAGUGAAGGAAAUUAGGGUCAGGCUGGAACAGCUGAUCACAACAGCCAAAUGUUUGAAGGCUGCAGGGGGUGGAGGAGAAACCUAGAUAGCUGAACAAUGUAG
RNAcentral lists this long non-coding RNA (5368 nucleotides) under Podarcis lilfordi (Lilford's wall lizard). The record is from RNAcentral. Lineage: Eukaryota; Metazoa; Chordata; Lepidosauria; Squamata; Lacertidae.